This 253-nucleotide ribosomal RNA is filed under the name uncultured bacterium. RNAcentral's name for it is "partial 16S ribosomal RNA". It matches the Rfam family "Bacterial small subunit ribosomal RNA", at positions 524 to 776 of the family's 1533-position model. The record is from RNAcentral.
UACAGAGGUGGCAAGCGGUGUUCGGAAUUACUGGGCGUAAAGGGCGCGUAGGCGGCUUGGUCAGUCCCGUGUGAAAGCCCUCGGCUCAACUGAGGAACUGCACGGGAAACUGCCUGGCUUGAGUUCGGGAGAGGGAAGCGGAAUUCCAGGUGUAGCGGUGAAAUGCGUAGAUAUCUGGAGGAACAUCGGUGGCGAAGGCGGCAUCCUGGACCGGUAUUGACGCUGAGGCGCGAAAGCCAGGGGAGCAAACGGG